RNAcentral lists this ribosomal RNA (423 nucleotides) under uncultured bacterium. RNAcentral's name for it is "bacterial SSU rRNA". It matches the Rfam family "Bacterial small subunit ribosomal RNA", at positions 207 to 622 of the family's 1533-position model. The record is from RNAcentral.
AAGACCUUGCGCUUUUGGAGCGGCCGAUGCCUGAUUAGCUUGUUGGUAAGGUAAAAGCUUACCAAGGCUUCGAUCAGUAGCUGGUCUGAGAGGACGGCCAGCCACACUGGGACUGAGACACGGCCCAGACUCCUACGGGAGGCAGCAGUGGGGAAUUUUGGACAAUGGGGGCAACCCUGAUCCAGCCAUGCCGCGUGAGUGAAGAAGGCCUUCGGGUUGUAAAGCUCUUUCAGCCGGAACGAAACGGUUACGGUCAAUACCCGUGAUUACUGACGGUACCGGAAGAAGAAGCACCGGCUAACUACGUGCCAGCAGCCGCGGUAAUACGUAGGGUGCGAGCGUUAAUCGGAAUUACUGGGCGUAAAGCGUGCGCAGGUGGUUUUGUAAGUCAGAUGUGAAAGCCCCGGGCUCAACCUGGGAACU